UGGGUAACCUGCCUCAAAGAGGGGAAUAGCCUCCCGAAAGGGAGAUUAAUACCGCAUAAUAUGUUUUAGUCGCAUGACUUAAACAUCAAAGGAUUUUUCUUUUAAGAAAUUCCACUUUGAGAUGGACCCCGCGGCGCAUUAGCUAGUUGGUGAGGUAACGGCUCACCAAGGCAACGAUGCGUAGCCGACCUGAGAGGGUNAUCGGCCACAUUGGAACUGAGACACGGUCCAGACUCCGUAGGG
Molecule: ribosomal RNA, 243 nt
Filed under: uncultured bacterium
Lineage: Bacteria
Description: partial 16S ribosomal RNA
Rfam family: Bacterial small subunit ribosomal RNA
Source: RNAcentral